RNAcentral lists this long non-coding RNA (309 nucleotides) under Vulpes vulpes (red fox). RNAcentral's name for it is "lncRNA (ENSVVUG00000030037.1)". Lineage: Eukaryota; Metazoa; Chordata; Mammalia; Carnivora; Canidae. The record is from RNAcentral.
GGGAAGGGGCAGGACAGGUGAAGUUUACCACAGGAGCCAAGGCCUUGAACCCACCAGCAAGGGUUCUUGCUGGAACUCGCAGUAUCUCAUCAUGGUUAGAUGGUGAGAUCUCGCCUGAGGAGAGUGGGGUGGCAGCAGGAGACAGCUCACAAAAGGAACUCCACAAUGUUUGUUUCUGAUGCUCCUGGGGCUGUUGUCAGCAUGGAUAAGAAAUCCAGAAGACCUCAGAAGAGAUGCCAAGGGAUGACUUUGAGCUCGUGUCUUUGCUGCGUAUCUAGACUCUCUUGGAGAACUAGCAGUUAUUCCUGA